RNAcentral lists this ribosomal RNA (546 nucleotides) under Vibrio vulnificus. RNAcentral's name for it is "bacterial SSU rRNA". It matches the Rfam family "Bacterial small subunit ribosomal RNA", at positions 997 to 1533 of the family's 1533-position model. The record is from RNAcentral. Lineage: Bacteria; Pseudomonadati; Pseudomonadota; Gammaproteobacteria; Vibrionales; Vibrionaceae.
CUAGCGGAGACGCUGGAGUGCCUUCGGGAACUCUGAGACAGGUGCUGCAUGGCUGUCGUCAGCUCGUGUUGUGAAAUGUUGGGUUAAGUCCCGCAACGAGCGCAACCCUUAUCCUUGUUUGCCAGCGAGUAAUGUCGGGAACUCCAGGGAGACUGCCGGUGAUAAACCGGAGGAAGGUGGGGACGACGUCAAGUCAUCAUGGCCCUUACGAGUAGGGCUACACACGUGCUACAAUGGCGCAUACAGAGGGCGGCCAACUUGCGAAAGUGAGCGAAUCCCAAAAAGUGCGUCGUAGUCCGGAUUGGAGUCUGCAACUCGACUCCAUGAAGUCGGAAUCGCUAGUAAUCGUGGAUCAGAAUGCCACGGUGAAUACGUUCCCGGGCCUUGUACACACCGCCCGUCACACCAUGGGAGUGGGCUGCAAAAGAAGUGGGUAGUUUAACCUUCGGGAGGACGCUCACCACUUUGUGGUUCAUGACUGGGGUGAAGUCGUAACAAGGUAGCGCUAGGGGAACCUGGCGCUGGAUCACCUCCUUAUACGAUGAU